RNAcentral lists this ribosomal RNA (254 nucleotides) under uncultured bacterium. RNAcentral describes it as "partial 16S ribosomal RNA". It matches the Rfam family "Bacterial small subunit ribosomal RNA", at positions 524 to 776 of the family's 1533-position model. The record is from RNAcentral.
GACAGAGGGUGCUAGCGUUGUUCGGAAUUACUGGGCGUAAAGGGCGCGUAGGCGGUCUGCUAAGUUCGGUGUGAAAUCUCCAGGCUCAACCUGGAGGGGUCAUUCGAUACUGCCAUGACUAGAGUUCGGUAGGGGAGUGUGGAAUUCCUGGUGGAGCGGUGAAAUGCGCAGAGAUCAGGAGGAACACCCGUAGCGAAGGCGGCACUCUGGGCCGAUACUGACGCUGAGGAGCGAAAGCGUGGGGAGCGAACAGG